CCUACGGGUGGCAGCAGUGAGGAAUAUUGGUCAAUGGGCGCGAGCCUGAACCAGCCAAGUCGCGUGAGGGAAGACGGUCCUAUGGAUUGUAAACCUCUUUUGUCGGGGAGCAAAAGACGCCACGCGUGGCGUUCCGAGAGUACCCGAAGAAAAAGCAUCGGCUAACUCCGUGCCAGCAGCCGCGGUAAUACGGAGGAUGCGAGCGUUAUCCGGAUUUAUUGGGGUUAAGGGGUGCGCAGGCGGAAGAUCAAGUCAGCGGUAAAAUUGAGGGGCUCAACCUCUUCGAGCCGUUGAAACUGGUGUUCUUGAGUGAAUGAGAAGUAGGCGGAAUGCGUGGUGUAGCGGUGAAAUGCAUAGAUAUCACGCAGAACUCCGAUUGCGAAGGCAGCAUACCGGGGCUCAACUGACGCUCAUGCACGAAAGUGUGGGUAUCGAACAGGAUUAGAUACCCGAGUAGUC
This 459-nucleotide ribosomal RNA is filed under the name uncultured bacterium. RNAcentral describes it as "partial 16S ribosomal RNA". It matches the Rfam family "Bacterial small subunit ribosomal RNA", at positions 338 to 795 of the family's 1533-position model. The record is from RNAcentral.